GGAGUCCUGUUAAAUGUCUGCUCAGAGAAAGGACGGCUACGGGCUGUUUCUCUCUGUGUCCCGCCUGCCUUUGCUGCUCGGAAGCCAGGUUUUGUGCCACAUGAAAGAUGUGGAAGAAAAAUUAGUAAAACCUAGGAAAGUUAGAAAUGGAUUGCAAUACCAUCUGGAUACCGUCUUGUCCACAAACGAAGCAGGGCUAUUGGAAGAUGAAAGCCUUGCCUGAAGAUAAUCUGCUGCUUUUCAUUAUAUUCUGGAAAUUGAUGGGGCUAGAUAGAAGAAGUAACAUUUCCAUUUCAAGAAAGCCUAGUUCAGGAUUACAUGGUUGUUCCAAAAUGGGCAGACAACCACCAGGCCCUCUAACCUUAUUGUGUAUCUUUCCAUUUUACAUGGUAUUUGAAUCCCUCACCGCUGAAAUCAGAAGUAUCUCCACUUUCAGUUUUUUUUCUAAAAACUUUAAAUUACUACCUAAGCUUCUGCUGUGGUAAAGGAUUUCUCGUGGUAUGUGAUCACUUAAAGGCAGAGAAAACAGAAACAUCAGAAAAACUAAACUAUGUGGCUGUGUAUUUGCAUGGGAAUAAGAAGACCCACUGAAUAAAAUGGGAGUUUUAUCUGAAUAUGCAUGCACAGGUGUGGGUGACAUGAUAUAAAUAAAGCUUUCUAUGAGUUAUCUCCA
Molecule: long non-coding RNA, 673 nt
Organism: Pogona vitticeps (central bearded dragon)
Lineage: Eukaryota; Metazoa; Chordata; Lepidosauria; Squamata; Agamidae
Source: RefSeq, a predicted model, not a curated record